AGGCCUAACACAUGCAAGUCGAACGGCAGCACAGAGGAGCUUGCUCCUGGGUGGCGAGUGGCGGACGGGUGAGGAAUACAUCGGAAUCUACUCUGUCGUGGGGGAUAACGUAGGGAAACUUACGCUAAUACCGCAUACGACCUACGGGUGAAAGCAGGGGAUCUUCGGACCUUGCGCGAUUGAAUGAGCCGAUGUCGGAUUAGCUAGUUGGCGGGGUAAAGGCCCACCAAGGCGACGAUCCGUAGCUGGUCUGAGAGGAUGAUCAGCCACACUGGAACUGAGACACGGUCCAGACUCCUACGGGAGGCAGCAGUGGGGAAUAUUGGACAAUGGGCGCAAGCCUGAUCCAGCCAUACCGCGUGGGUGAAGAAGGCCUUCGGGUUGUAAAGCCCUUUUGUUGGGAAAGAAAUCCAGCCGGCUAAUACCUGGUUGGGAUGACGGUACCCAAAGAAUAAGCACCGGCUAACUUCGUGCCAGCAGCCGCGGUAAUACGAAGGGUGCAAGCGUUACUCGGAAUUACUGGGCGUAAAGCGUGCGUAGGUGGUCGUUUAAGUCCGUUGUGAAAGCCCUGGGCUCAACCUGGGAACUGCAGUGGAUACUGGACGACUAGAGUGUGGUAGAGGGUAGCAGGAUUGCCU
This 638-nucleotide ribosomal RNA is filed under the name Stenotrophomonas sp. EE9. Its description in RNAcentral is "bacterial SSU rRNA". It matches the Rfam family "Bacterial small subunit ribosomal RNA", at positions 44 to 672 of the family's 1533-position model. The record is from RNAcentral. Lineage: Bacteria; Pseudomonadati; Pseudomonadota; Gammaproteobacteria; Lysobacterales; Lysobacteraceae.